Molecule: ribosomal RNA, 784 nt
Filed under: Bacillus sp. MB65
Lineage: Bacteria; Bacillati; Bacillota; Bacilli; Caryophanales; Bacillaceae
Description: bacterial SSU rRNA
Rfam family: Bacterial small subunit ribosomal RNA
Source: RNAcentral
GUGGAAUUCCAAGCGUAGCGGUGAAAUGCGUAGAUAUUGGAGAAACACCAGUGAAGAAGGCGACUUUCUGGUCUGUUCUGACACUGAGGCGCGAAAGCAUGGGGAGCAAACAGGAUUAGAUACCAUGGUAGUCCACACCGUAAACGAUGAGUGCUAAGUGUUAGGGGGUUUCCGCCCCUUAGUGCUGCAGCUAACGCAUUAAGCACUCCGCCUGGGGAGUACGGUCGCAAGACUGAAACUCAAAGGAAUUGACGGGGGCCCGCACAAGCGGUGGAGCAUGUGGUUUAAUUCGAAGCAACGCGAAGAACCUUUCCAGGUCUUGACAUCCUCUGACAACCCUAGAGAUAGGGCUUUCCCCUUCGGGGGACAGAGUGACAGGUGGUGCAUGGUUGUCGUCAGCUCGUGUCGUGAGAUGUUGGGUUAAGUCCCGCAACGAGCGCAACCCUUGAUCUUAGUUGCCAGCAUUCAGUUGGGCACUCUAAGAUGACUGCCGGUGACAAACCGGAGGAAGGUGGGGAUGACGUCAAAUCAUCAUGCCCCUUAUGACCUGGGCUACACACGUGCUACAAUGGACGGUACAAAGGGCAGCGAGACCGCGAGGUUUAGCCAAUCCCAUAAAACCGUUCUCAGUUCGGAUUGUAGGCUGCAACUCGCCUACAUGAAGCUGGAAUCGUUAGUAAUCGCGGAUCAGCAUCCCGCGGUGAAUACGUUCCCGGGCCUUGUACACACCGCCCGUCACACCACGAGAGUUUGUAACACCCGAAGUCGGUGAGGUAACCUUACC